GGGGUUGUGGCUCAGUGGUAGAGCACUUGCCUAGCAUGUGUGAAGACACUGGGUUCGAUUCUCAGCCCUG
RNAcentral lists this transfer RNA (70 nucleotides) under Ictidomys tridecemlineatus (thirteen-lined ground squirrel). Its description in RNAcentral is "Spermophilus tridecemlineatus (thirteen-lined ground squirrel) tRNA". It matches the Rfam family "tRNA". Rfam says of the family: Transfer RNA (tRNA) molecules are approximately 80 nucleotides in length. Their secondary structure includes four short double-helical elements and three loops (D, anti-codon, and T loops). The record is from Rfam by way of RNAcentral. Lineage: Eukaryota; Metazoa; Chordata; Mammalia; Rodentia; Sciuridae.